GGAGAUGCGCUGAGGGAUGGAGGUGUAUGUCACCGCAGAGGCUGCUGUGUUCCUGCCCCACGCCCCAGGCCCUUGAAGCCACCCGCGGUCAACAGCGCAGAGAGGCCCAAGGGAUGAGGACACCACAGAGCGUUGUGAAGCCCUCGCUGCAGGAGCCGGGCCGAGCCUGACGUCUGUCCUCUCCACGUGCGCACCGGCUUCCGAGGGAGCGGCCGGCCAGUGGCUGCCGCAUGGAACGUCUGCAGAAGCAACCUCUUACCUCCCCGGGGAGCGUCAGCUCCUCCAGAGACUCCAGUGUACCCGGCUCUCCCUCCAACA
This 318-nucleotide long non-coding RNA is filed under the name Rattus norvegicus (Norway rat). RNAcentral's name for it is "long non-coding RNA NONRATT011067". Lineage: Eukaryota; Metazoa; Chordata; Mammalia; Rodentia; Muridae. The record is from RNAcentral.